UACGUAGGGUGCGAGCGUUGUCCGGAAUUACUGGGCGUAAAGAGCUCGUAGGUGGUUUGUCGCGUUGUCCGUGAAAACUCACAGCUCAACUGUGGGCGUGCGGGCGAUACGGGCAGACUGGAGUACUGCAGGGGAGACUGGAAUUCCUGGUGUAGCGGUGGAAUGCGCAGAUAUCAGGAGGAACACCGGUGGCGAAGGCGGGUCUCUGGGCAGUAACUGACGCUGAGGAGCGAAAGCGUGGGGAGCGAACGGG
Molecule: ribosomal RNA, 253 nt
Filed under: uncultured bacterium
Lineage: Bacteria
Description: partial 16S ribosomal RNA
Rfam family: Bacterial small subunit ribosomal RNA
Source: RNAcentral